This 254-nucleotide ribosomal RNA is filed under the name uncultured bacterium. RNAcentral describes it as "partial 16S ribosomal RNA". It matches the Rfam family "Bacterial small subunit ribosomal RNA", at positions 524 to 776 of the family's 1533-position model. The record is from RNAcentral.
UACGUAGGGCGCAAGCGUUGUCCGGAUUUAUUGGGCGUAAAGAGCUCGUAGGCGGCUUGUCGCGUCGACUGUGAAAACCCGUGGCUCAACCAUGUGGUCUGCAGUCGAUACGGGCAGGCUACAAUUCGGUAGGGGAGACUGGAAUUCCUGGUGUAGCGGUGAAAUGCGCAGAUAUCAGGAGGAACACCGGUGGCGAAGGCGGGUCUCUGGGCCGAUAUUGACGCUGAGGAGCGAAAGCGUGGGGAGCGAACAGG